RNAcentral lists this long non-coding RNA (655 nucleotides) under Nilaparvata lugens (brown planthopper). RNAcentral's name for it is "uncharacterized LOC120354448". The record is from RNAcentral. Lineage: Eukaryota; Metazoa; Arthropoda; Insecta; Hemiptera; Delphacidae.
CCAUAAAGAAAUCAUUAAUCCAUCCCAGAAAUAUGGACUGUUUUAAUGUUAACAAUAAAGAUUGUCUAUAUCAAUAACUUUGAAACUCCCGGGGUGAUUCGUGCUUGUGCACUACUGCGCUUGAGCGACAGCCAUUAAAGAUGUCCUCGUCCUGUCUUCUUCAGUUUUCAGUAGUUGAAGGUGAAGUAUUGCAGUAUUGGUUUGUUGUUUGUUUAUCCUUUAUUUUAUCGCGUCAUCAAGUUGAUGAUGAUUUUUGAUUGCUGAAGGUCUUAAAUUAAGACGAAGGUGGGAAUAGAACUGCAGAUACAUAUUAUACUAAAAUCCACCAUGACAGAUGAAUAUGAUGCCAAGGAUUAGAUUUGAAAAAAGUUCUUCUCCUUUACAUUUGAUGAAAGCCAUUUUCAGCAAAGGUGGGAAUAGAACUGCAGACGCAUAUACCAAAAUCCACCAUGACAGACGAAUAUGCUGCCAACUACAGUUUUAGAUUUAAAACUCCUUUCUACAUCUGAUGGAAACCAUUUUCAGACCAAGAGCAGAGAGACUACGCCUCAUGAAGCUCAAAUCGAGGACGAUAGCAGUUCAAAGUAAAAAUAUAUAAUUAGUAAUAAAUUGAAAGUUCAAUUUUUGUAAUAUUUAAUAAAAAUCAUUGCAUUUU